Molecule: ribosomal RNA, 253 nt
Filed under: uncultured bacterium
Lineage: Bacteria
Description: partial 16S ribosomal RNA
Rfam family: Bacterial small subunit ribosomal RNA
Source: RNAcentral
UACGUAGGGUGCAAGCGUUGUCCGGAAUUAUUGGGCGUAAAGAGCUCGUAGGCGGUUUGUCGCGUCGAAUGUGAAAACCCGGGGCUCAACCCCGGGCCUGCAUUCGAUACGGGCAGACUAGAGUUCGGUAGGGGAGUCUGGAAUUCCUGGUGUAGCGGUGAAAUGCGCAGAUAUUAGGAGGAACACCGGUGGCGAAGGCGGGACUCUGGGCCGAUACUGACGCUGAGGAGCGAAAGCGUGGGGAGCAAACAGG